AGAGGAACUGGUUUUCUCAUGCCGACCCAUGUUUGCGAAUGCUGUCGAAAGUUCUUCAGAAUGAAGCUAAUCAAAGUGAAAGUGAUGACAGGACAGAUCGUAUUCGAAAUCCCAGUGACCUGACCACAGGAGGAGCCCCACCACCGAAACCCUGCAAGGAGAACUGCAACAUGAAUCGGCCUUAUGCUCCCUGCCUCCAGACCCUAUUCUUCUGAGCCGUUUUCCUUCCUUGUUGCCUGGGUCUUGACGAGACCUAAAGCAGCCAUCCUAGACCGAAGGUGGAAGCUGGGUGCGGACAAUGGCAGAGUCAACCCUCGGGCCCUGGACCACUUUGGUCUGUUGUGUGAAAUAAAAG
RNAcentral lists this long non-coding RNA (355 nucleotides) under Homo sapiens (human). Its description in RNAcentral is "HSALNT0306020". The record is from RNAcentral. Lineage: Eukaryota; Metazoa; Chordata; Mammalia; Primates; Hominidae.